GGUUAAGCGACUAAGCGUACACGGUGGAUGCCCUGGCAGUCAGAGGCGAUGAAGGACGUGCUAAUCUGCGAUAAGCGUCGGUAAGGUGAUAUGAACCGUUAUAACCGGCGAUUUCCGAAUGGGGAAACCCAGUGUGAUUCGUCACACUAUCAUUAACUGAAUCCAUAGGUUAAUGAGGCGAACCGGGGGAACUGAAACAUCUAAGUACCCCGAGGAAAAGAAAUCAACCGAGAUUCCCCCAGUAGCGGCGAGCGAACGGGGAGAAGCCCAGAGCCUGAAUCAGUGUGUGUGUUAGUGGAAGCGUCUGGAAAGGCGCGCGAUACAGGGUGACAGCCCCGUACACAAAAAUGCACAUAUUGUGAGCUCGAUGAGUAGGGCGGGACACGUGGUAUCCUGUCUGAAUAUGGGGGGACCAUCCUCCAAGGCUAAAUACUCCUGACUGACCGAUAGUGAACCAGUACCGUGAGGGAAAGGCGAAAAGAACCCCGGCGAGGGGAGUGAAAAAGAACCUGAAACCGUGUACGUACAAGCAGUGGGAGCCUCUUUAUGGGGUGACUGCGUACCUUUUGUAUAAUGGGUCAGCGACUUAUAUUCUGUAGCAAGGUUAACCGAAUAGGGGAGCCGAAGGGAAACCGAGUCUUAACUGGGCGUUAAGUUGCAGGGUAUAGACCCGAAACCCGGUGAUCUAGCCAUGGGCAGGUUGAAGGUUGGGUAACACUAACUGGAGGACCGAACCGACUAAUGUUGAAAAAUUAGCGGAUGACUUGUGGCUGGGGGUGAAAGGCCAAUCAAACCGGGAGAUAGCUGGUUCUCCCCGAAAGCUAUUUAGGUAGCGCCUCGUGAAUUCAUCUCCGGGGGUAGAGCACUGUUUCGGCAAGGGGGUCAUCCCGACUUACCAACCCGAUGCAAACUGCGAAUACCGGAGAAUGUUAUCACGGGAGACACACGGCGGGUGCUAACGUCCGUCGUGAAGAGGGAAACAACCCAGACCGCCAGCUAAGGUCCCAAAGUCAUGGUUAAGUGGGAAACGAUGUGGGAAGGCCCAGACAGCCAGGAUGUUGGCUUAGAAGCAGCCAUCAUUUAAAGAAAGCGUAAUAGCUCACUGGUCGAGUCGGCCUGCGCGGAAGAUGUAACGGGGCUAAACCAUGCACCGAAGCUGCGGCAGCGACGCUUAUGCGUUGUUGGGUAGGGGAGCGUUCUGUAAGCCUGUGAAGGUGUGCUGUGAGGCAUGCUGGAGGUAUCAGAAGUGCGAAUGCUGACAUAAGUAACGAUAAAGCGGGUGAAAAGCCCGCUCGCCGGAAGACCAAGGGUUCCUGUCCAACGUUAAUCGGGGCAGGGUGAGUCGACCCCUAAGGCGAGGCCGAAAGGCGUAGUCGAUGGGAAACAGGUUAAUAUUCCUGUACUUGGUGUUACUGCGAAGGGGGGACGGAGAAGGCUAUGUUGGCCGGGCGACGGUUGUCCCGGUUUAAGCGUGUAGGCUGGUUUUCCAGGCAAAUCCGGAAAAUCAAGGCUGAGGCGUGAUGACGAGGCACUACGGUGCUGAAGUGACAAAUGCCCUGCUUCCAGGAAAAGCCUCUAAGCAUCAGGUAACAACAAAUCGUACCCCAAACCGACACAGGUGGUCAGGUAGAGAAUACCAAGGCGCUUGAGAGAACUCGGGUGAAGGAACUAGGCAAAAUGGUGCCGUAACUUCGGGAGAAGGCACGCUGAUAUGUAGGUGAAGCGACUUGCUCGUGGAGCUGAAAUCAGUCGAAGAUACCAGCUGGCUGCAACUGUUUAUUAAAAACACAGCACUGUGCAAACACGAAAGUGGACGUAUACGGUGUGACGCCUGCCCGGUGCCGGAAGGUUAAUUGAUGGGGUUAGCGGUAACGCGAAGCUCUUGAUCGAAGCCCCGGUAAACGGCGGCCGUAACUAUAACGGUCCUAAGGUAGCGAAAUUCCUUGUCGGGUAAGUUCCGACCUGCACGAAUGGCGUAAUGAUGGCCAGGCUGUCUCCACCCGAGACUCAGUGAAAUUGAACUCGCUGUGAAGAUGCAGUGUACCCGCGGCAAGACGGAAAGACCCCGUGAACCUUUACUAUAGCUUGACACUGAACAUUGAGCCUUGAUGUGUAGGAUAGGUGGGAGGCUUUGAAGUGUGGACGCCAGUCUGCAUGGAGCCGACCUUGAAAUACCACCCUUUAAUGUUUGAUGUUCUAACGUGGACCCGUGAUCCGGGUUGCGGACAGUGUCUGGUGGGUAGUUUGACUGGGGCGGUCUCCUCCUAAAGAGUAACGGAGGAGCACGAAGGUUGGCUAAUCCUGGUCGGACAUCAGGAGGUUAGUGCAAUGGCAUAAGCCAGCUUGACUGCGAGCGUGACGGCGCGAGCAGGUGCGAAAGCAGGUCAUAGUGAUCCGGUGGUUCUGAAUGGAAGGGCCAUCGCUCAACGGAUAAAAGGUACUCCGGGGAUAACAGGCUGAUACCGCCCAAGAGUUCAUAUCGACGGCGGUGUUUGGCACCUCGAUGUCGGCUCAUCACAUCCUGGGGCUGAAGUAGGUCCCAAGGGUAUGGCUGUUCGCCAUUUAAAGUGGUACGCGAGCUGGGUUUAGAACGUCGUGAGACAGUUCGGUCCCUAUCUGCCGUGGGCGCUGGAGAAUUGAGGGGGGCUGCUCCUAGUACGAGAGGACCGGAGUGGACGCAUCACUGGUGUUCGGGUUGUCAUGCCAAUGGCACUGCCCGGUAGCUAAAUGCGGAAGAGAUAAGUGCUGAAAGCAUCUAAGCACGAAACUUGCCCCGAGAUGAGUUCUCCCUGACCCUUUAAGGGUCCUGAAGGAACGUUGAAGACGACGACGUUGAUAGGCCGGGUGUGUAAGCGCAGCGAUGCGUUGAGCUAACCGGUACUAAUGAACCGUGAGGCUUAACCUU
This 2905-nucleotide ribosomal RNA is filed under the name Escherichia fergusonii. RNAcentral describes it as "23S ribosomal RNA". It matches the Rfam family "Bacterial large subunit ribosomal RNA". RNAcentral also lists the same sequence under 1 other name. Lineage: Bacteria; Pseudomonadati; Pseudomonadota; Gammaproteobacteria; Enterobacterales; Enterobacteriaceae. The record is from RNAcentral.